CCUACGGGUGGCAGCAGUCGAGAAUCAUUCACAAUGGGGGGAACCCUGAUGGUGUGACGCCGCGUGGGGGAAUGCAGGUCUUCGGAUUGUAAACCCCUGUCAUGUGGGAGCAAAUUAAAAAGAUAGUACCACAAGAGGAAGAGACGGCUAACUCUGUGCCAGCAGCCGCGGUAAUACAGAGGUCUCAAGCGUUGUUCGGAAUCACUGGGCGUAAAGCGUGCGUAGGCUGUUUCGUAAGUCGUGUGUGAAAGGCGAGGGCUCAACCCGCGGACGGCACAUGAUACUGCGAGACUAGAGUAAUGGAGGGGGAACCGGAAUUCGUGGUGUAGCAGUGAAAUGCGUAGAUAUCGAGAGGAACACUCGUGGCGAAGGCGGGUUCCUGGACAUUAACUGACGCUGAGGCACGAAGGCCAGGGGAGCGAAAGGGAUUAGAUACCCUUGUAGUC
RNAcentral lists this ribosomal RNA (446 nucleotides) under uncultured bacterium. Its description in RNAcentral is "partial 16S ribosomal RNA". It matches the Rfam family "Bacterial small subunit ribosomal RNA", at positions 338 to 795 of the family's 1533-position model. The record is from RNAcentral.